CUCUAGUACUUCUCAAGUAUUAUGAGAAUAUUUUUUCAUAAUUUUCAUAAGAUUCUAUCAUGGAUCUACCUGAAAUCAAUGAUUAUGCAUAAGGCAUAAUUCAUAUCAGGCUUAGUAUAUUGAAUGUAUGGAUAAGUAAAUACUUUUACACCCAUUCAUGUUGAACCCUUUCAACAUUAAAUUCUAUGUACUGAGACUAGGACAAGCCCUGCAUCCACUUACACC
RNAcentral lists this long non-coding RNA (225 nucleotides) under Elaeis guineensis (African oil palm). RNAcentral's name for it is "long non-coding RNA (EGUI_LNC074823)". The record is from RNAcentral. Lineage: Eukaryota; Viridiplantae; Streptophyta; Magnoliopsida; Arecales; Arecaceae.